GUCUACGGCCAUACCACCCUGAACGCGCCCGAUCUCGUCUGAUCUCGGAAGCUAAGCAGGGUCGGGCCUGGUUAGUACUUGGAUGGGAAAAAGCAUAUGCACCCCAGUUCACUGCAGCAU
This 120-nucleotide ribosomal RNA is filed under the name Myotis davidii. Lineage: Eukaryota; Metazoa; Chordata; Mammalia; Chiroptera; Vespertilionidae. The record is from RNAcentral.